This 253-nucleotide ribosomal RNA is filed under the name uncultured bacterium. Its description in RNAcentral is "partial 16S ribosomal RNA". It matches the Rfam family "Bacterial small subunit ribosomal RNA", at positions 524 to 776 of the family's 1533-position model. The record is from RNAcentral.
GACGUAGGGCGCGAGCGUUGUCCGGAUUUAUUGGGCGUAAAGAGCUCGUAGGCGGCUCGUUGCGUCGGCUGUGAAAACCCGCAGCUCAACUGUGGGCUUGCAGCUGAUACGGGCGGGCUGGAGUUCGGUAGGGGAGACUGGAAUUCCUGGUGUAGCGGUGAAAUGCGCAGAUAUCAGGAGGAACACCGGUGGCGAAGGCGGGUCUCUGGGACGGUACUGACGCUGAGACGCGAAAGCGUGGGGAGCAAACAGG